This is a long non-coding RNA of Manis pentadactyla (Chinese pangolin), 526 nucleotides long. RefSeq lists it as uncharacterized. The transcript has 3 exons. Lineage: Eukaryota; Metazoa; Chordata; Mammalia; Pholidota; Manidae. The record is from RefSeq and is a predicted model, not a curated record.
GGAACAUUUCACAAUGAGUGUCCUGACCAAGGCCAAGAAUGGAGGUGAGCAAUGGCAGAGGCCUACUCUGAGGCCUGGGCUCAGGCUGUCCUGUGCAUCAGGAUGACUGACAGCAGAGCCGCAAACACAGCUUAUCAAGCUGCCACAUAUGAGUUUCCUCCUGGAGGGGCAAGAUGCGGAGGGUGGCCAUCGCUGAACAGAGGCCAUCAGUUCCAUGUCCCUGGAGGGACUCAGUAUCAGCAAUAACCAGAGUGAGCCUGCCCCAGACCCUUCCUCAGUCGCCUUCGGAAGGAACUCUUUGGCCCCAUUGAUAUCUGGCCUGCAGCUUAGGAGAGGUCUCCAGAGACCAUGCCUGGAGCCACAAGAACUGAGAGGGGAAGAAACUAAAGUCCAGCGAGAUUGAUGGUCCUGACCGAUAGAUCGUCUAAUUGGAACUGACAAGCCAGGCUUUGGACCUAAACUUGUUGGGCUCUGAGGCGCCUGCUUUCUCCGCUUCCAGGAUGCCGCUCCCUUCCCCCACCGGUAC